Molecule: long non-coding RNA, 2020 nt
Organism: Ailuropoda melanoleuca (giant panda)
Lineage: Eukaryota; Metazoa; Chordata; Mammalia; Carnivora; Ursidae
Exons: 2
Source: RefSeq, a predicted model, not a curated record
UGAAGAAGCAAACUAUCUACAACUUUCCCAUAACUCCCCAGCAUACAGUGGUGAGGCGUGAGAUAACUUUCCUAUUCUAAAAGGGUUUGGAAAACAAGAGGCAAUUCUUUUUUUUAUAAUUUCUCCCUAUGUAAUAUACUCUAUUUCAAUAGUUUUAAAUACCACCCAUAUAUUUGUGACUUCCAAAUUUCCUAACAUCUCUGAGCUCCACACUAGAAUAUCUAAUAACUUUCACUUCAUUUGAUAUCUUCAUUAAGAUAUCUCCCAGAUAUUUCCAACUUAACAUGCUAAAAUUCUUGUUUUCUUCUUUACCCUUUGCCUCCACAAAUCUGUUCUUUUCCCGGUUUCUCCGUCUGGGUGAAUGAUGCCACUAUUCACCUAGUUGCUCAGACCAAAACCCAGGACUCAGCCUUAAUUCUUUUAUCUCUGUAUUCCAAUAAUCACCAAGUUCUGUAUUUUCUUUCUUUAGAAUAUACUCACUUUUUUUUCAGUCUCACCUGGAUUACAACAAUCUCCUUAUUGGCCACCUCCUUCAUUCUUGCUCCUUUCUGAUUUCCUUUGGCACAGCAAAGUCGUAAUUUAGUUCGUAUGUCUGGUUACGGUGUGCUCUUGCCCACAGCCUUCAGUGAUUUCCCACUCCAUUUUGAGUGAGAUCCAGAUUCCUUCCCAUGAUCUAAAAGGUUCAUAUAACUGGCCGUUGCCUGUCCCUCUGGCCUUAUUCCCUGCCAUCUUUCCUCUUUAUCCACCAUACUUCAUCUUCUCUGGGCUUUUUCAGUUCCUCACACAUACCAAGCUCUCAGAAAGGAUCUGUACACAUGCUGUUUUCUCUGCCUGGAAUAUUCUCUCCCAACUUCCCACCCCCACAGAACCGACUCUUUCUUAUCCAAGACAUGGAUUCUUGACCAUUCUGAGUAAGUACCCCCUCUAUUAUUCUCUAUCACUGUAUCCUGUUUUUCUUUUAUAAAACUUAUCCCAAUUUUAAGUUGUAUCCUGUUUGUUUACUUAUUUAUCAUGUGUCUCCCUUGAUUUCAAGCCCUACUGGGUCAGAGGGCAUGUCUGUGUAUACCCAGUGCCCAGGCAGCAUGUGCCGCACAUAAUAUGCCCUUGAUAAAUAUGUUGAGUGGUGUUUCAAGACAUAAUUUUGUUUUGAGACAGAUAUGUUAAUAAUUAAUUAGUAAUGUUAAAUGUAUUAUUUCCUAAUUCUUACUGAAAUAGCCCUUUUUUCUUUCAGUAAUUGCCCUUCCUUUUUGGCUGCUGCUUUAGCCAGAGCCACAUCAGAUGAAGUCCUCCAGAGUGAUCUUUCUGCACAUUACAUCGCAAAGGAAACAGACUGCACAGAAGGGACUGUGGAGAUUGAAACAAUGAAAUUGGCCCGUUCUGUCUUCAGCAAACUACACGAGAUUUGCUGCAGCUGGGUGAAAGACUUCCCUCUCCGCAGGAGACCCCAGCUUUAUUAUGAGACAUCAAUCCAUGCCAUCAAAAACAUGCGCAGGAAAAUGGAAGACAAACAUGUCUGCAUUCCUGACUUUAAUAUGCUCUUCAACCUAGAGGUAAAGGGCCUUUCUCAAGAGUCAAUGAGAUUUAAAAAAACAAAACGAACACCUUCAAGGUCUUAUUUUUCUUAAAGAGAACUUCUAAUAUACCUCUAAUAGUAUGUCUGGUGGUCUGGAAUAGGACUGAAGGCAGAGUGGCAUGAAUUUGCUUGCACUACACAACAGGAAAGAACCUAUUUUACGCCAUUUUGGUUUGUUUAUUUAUUUUUAAGUAAGCUCUACGCCCAGCUUGGGGCUUGAACUCACACCCCGAGAUCAGGAGUCACAUGCUCUACCGACUGAGCCAGCCAGGCGCCCCGAUUUGAGCAGGUAAUGCAUUCACAUGGUUCAGAUGGAAAACAAAAAUCUCUCUUAUCCUUUGUCUCAGACGCUCAGUUCCCUUCCAUGAAGGCAAGGGAAGUUACCAAUUUUUUGCAUAAACUUCCGGAGCUAUUCAAUAAAAAUUAUGUUUUUUGAAAAUAAAAAAA